GGCCGGUGCAGCGCAGCCUCACGCAGCCAGUGGCGGUCACCGGUCAGUCAGUCCGUGGCCGGGUGCGGAGCGUCAGCGCAGCGUGAGCGUACCGAGUCACCAAAGGUCAGCCAGCCGGGACCGCCGGGACCGCAGUGCAGUGACAUCGCGUCCACCGUGUUGACCCAGCGUCCCGUCCACGCCACUGGAAAGGCUCUGCCAGGCUCUGCAGCGCGCCGUCAGCCACCCCAGUGCCACAACGCGUCGCAUUUGACUCCAACUCGCCAGCAUGGGGAACAGCCAGGCCAAGAACAAGGUCCCCUCCGUGGAGGUGACGCACUGCACCCUGCACGAGUACGUCGCGGCGCGCGUCAAGGACCACGGCAGCAAGGUGGCCCAGGUGGACGCGGUGACGGGCGAGACGGUGUCGUUCGACGCCGUCCUGGAGCGCGCCGCCGCCCUGGCCGCCGGGCUGACGGCUAGGGGCCUUCGCGCGGGCGAGGUGGCGCUCGUCAUCGCGGAGAACAGCGUGCACUACCCCUGGGUGCUCCUCGGCGUGCUGCAGACCGGUGCCACCGCGCACCUCAUCGACCCCCGCAGCACUCCACGCGAGGUCCAGCACGCCGUGUCCAUCUCGCUGCCGACGGUGGCGCUGGUGUCCAAGGCCGUGUCCAACCAGCCCGGCGUGGCCGCCGUCCUGAAGGGCUCGUCGAGCGUGAGCAGCGUGCUGGUGUGGGGCAGCGUGGACGGCCAGGACGCCAAGGCCAAGGACCUCCCCACCGGCAUCGCCCCCUUGGAGCAGAUGCUCGUCAGCCCCGCCAAGUCGGCGUCGUCCGUGCCCUGUUCGCCGAGCGGCGCUGCCUCCGCCCCGGACGCGGCUGACGCGACGACCCCCACGGGGCCGACGUGCGUCCCCGACGUGCAGGUGCUGUCCGUGAUGGACGUGGCGCCCGGCCGCGGUGUGGCCGUGACCCCCAACGCGCCGCCACCGACGCCCACCUCGCUGGGCGCUGUCUACGGUGACAGCUCGCCGUCGUCCGGGACUUCCCCGAUGCAGAAGUUCCUGGUGCACGCCGUGGACGGGCUCCCCCAGCCGCAGGGCGGGUCGGCCGUCGCCUUGCUGCUGCCCUCGAGCGGCUCCACGGGCAUGCCCAAGGGGGUCAUGAUCACCCACGACAACCUGCUGGCCGCCCUGAGCCUCGGGGACAAGUUCAUCCAGCCAGACGACGUGGUCGGCGGCGUGUCGCCCUACUUCCACGCCUUCGGCGGCCUGCUCAUGCUGAUGGCUCUGUGCGCCGGUGUCCCCGUGGUGGCGCUCGGCCGCUUCACCAUGGCGGGACUGCUGGACGCCGUGGAGAAGCACAAAAUCACGGUGCUGCACGUGGUGUCCUCGCUACUCGUCUCGUUCAGCAAGCACCCCGUUGACGAGCUGGCCAAGCUCAAGACUCUGCAGCGCCUCUGGUCCGGGCGGCGCAGAUCUCGCCGCUGGUGCAGAGUGCUCUCCAGACGCGCCUGCCCCACGUCAAGUUGUUCCACUCGUACGGCAUGACGGAGACCACCUUCACCACGUUCUGCGGCGAGGUGCGCGCCGACAAGCCCGGCUCUCCGGGGACGCUGGUCAGCACCAUGGAGUGCAAGGUCGUGGACACAGAUACUGGCAAGACGCUGCCCAUGGGAUCGCGCGGUGAGCUAUGCUUCAAAGGGUCCAUGGUGAUGAGGGGUUAUCUUAACAACGCGGACGCCACCUCGGAGGCCUUCGACGCCGAGGGCUGGCUGCGGU
This is an RNA transcript of Thrips palmi, 1759 nucleotides long. It is a transcript of the gene named acetyl-coenzyme A synthetase-like, with no coding region annotated. The transcript is spliced from 8 exons. Lineage: Eukaryota; Metazoa; Arthropoda; Insecta; Thysanoptera; Thripidae. The record is from RefSeq and is a predicted model, not a curated record.